GUGGUCGUAGCUCAGUGGUAGAGUGCUUGCCUAGCAUGUGUGAGGGCCUAGGUUCGAUUCUCAGCACCACA
Molecule: transfer RNA, 71 nt
Filed under: Ictidomys tridecemlineatus (thirteen-lined ground squirrel)
Lineage: Eukaryota; Metazoa; Chordata; Mammalia; Rodentia; Sciuridae
Description: Spermophilus tridecemlineatus (thirteen-lined ground squirrel) tRNA
Rfam family: tRNA
About the family: Transfer RNA (tRNA) molecules are approximately 80 nucleotides in length. Their secondary structure includes four short double-helical elements and three loops (D, anti-codon, and T loops).
Source: Rfam by way of RNAcentral